UGCAAAUGAUGUUUUUUCUCACGAUGGUCUUCCAAGUCCUCUGGGCUCUGACGACAAUGCCUAAUGGCAAUACUGAUGUGGUUGA
This 85-nucleotide small nucleolar RNA is filed under the name Amphiprion ocellaris (clown anemonefish). RNAcentral describes it as "Small nucleolar RNA SNORD35 (ENSAOCG00000018164.2)". It matches the Rfam family "Small nucleolar RNA SNORD35". From Rfam's summary of the family: U35 is a C/D box snoRNA located in intron 6 of ribosomal protein L13A and intron 3 of ribosomal protein S11 in humans and at homologous positions in mouse and chicken ribosomal protein genes. RNAcentral also lists the same sequence under 1 other name. The record is from Rfam by way of RNAcentral. Lineage: Eukaryota; Metazoa; Chordata; Actinopteri; Pomacentridae.